This 65-nucleotide transfer RNA is filed under the name Siphonosoma cumanense. RNAcentral's name for it is "tRNA-Leu". The record is from RNAcentral. Lineage: Eukaryota; Metazoa; Annelida; Sipuncula; Golfingiida; Sipunculidae.
ACUAGGUUGGCAGAGCCAUGCAUUCGAUUUAGGUUCGAAAGACAGAAGUAUUCUUCUACCUGGUA